UACGUAGGGGGCAAGCGUUGUCCGGAUUUAUUGGGCGUAAAGAGCGUGUAGGCGGUCAGGUAGGUCCGUUGUGAAAACUCGAGGCUCAACCUCGAGACGCCGAUGGAAACCAUCUGACUAGAGUCCGGAAGAGGAGGGUGGAAUUCCUGGUGUAGCGGUGAAAUGCGCAGAUAUCAGGAAGAACACCCGUGGCUAAGGCGGCUCUCUAGUACGGUACUGACGCUGAGACGCGAAAGCGUGGGGAGCGAACAGG
This 253-nucleotide ribosomal RNA is filed under the name uncultured bacterium. RNAcentral's name for it is "partial 16S ribosomal RNA". It matches the Rfam family "Bacterial small subunit ribosomal RNA", at positions 524 to 776 of the family's 1533-position model. The record is from RNAcentral.